This is a transfer RNA of Cavia porcellus (domestic guinea pig), 73 nucleotides long. It matches the Rfam family "tRNA". Rfam says of the family: Transfer RNA (tRNA) molecules are approximately 80 nucleotides in length. Their secondary structure includes four short double-helical elements and three loops (D, anti-codon, and T loops). Lineage: Eukaryota; Metazoa; Chordata; Mammalia; Rodentia; Caviidae. The record is from Rfam.
GGCGGUUUAGCUCAACAGCAUAAGCGCCUGCCUUGCAAGCAGGAAAUUGUGAGUUCAAUCCCCAGUACCGAUA